RNAcentral lists this ribosomal RNA (542 nucleotides) under Nigrocornus scleroticus. RNAcentral's name for it is "partial large subunit ribosomal RNA". It matches the Rfam family "Eukaryotic large subunit ribosomal RNA", at positions 94 to 658 of the family's 3401-position model. Lineage: Eukaryota; Fungi; Ascomycota; Sordariomycetes; Hypocreales; Clavicipitaceae. The record is from RNAcentral.
UGAAGCGGCGACAGCUCAAAUUUGAAAUCUGGCCCCCCCGGCCCGAGUUGUAAUUUGCAGAGGAUGCUUCUGGCGAGGCGCCUUCCGAGUGCCCUGGAACGGGACGCCACAGAGGGUGAGAGCCCCGUCUGGUCGGACGCCGAGCCUCCGCGAAGCUCCUUCGACGAGUCGAGUAGUUUGGGAAUGCUGCUCUAAACGGGAGGUAUAUGUCUUCUAAAGCUAAAUACCGGCCAGAGACCGAUAGCGCACAAGUAGAGUGAUCGAAAGAUGAAAAGCACUUUGAAAAGAGGGUUAAACAGUACGUGAAAUUGUUGAAAGGGAAGCGCUCGCGACCAGACUUGGGCCCGGCGAAUCAUCCGGCGUUCUCGCCGGUGCACUUCGCCGGGCUUCCAGGCCAGCAUCAGCUCGCCUCGGGGGAUAAAGGCCCGGGGAACGUGGCUCCUCCGGGAGUGUUAUAGCCCCUCGCGCAAUGCCCUGGGGCGGGCUGAGGACCGCGCAUUCGCAAGGAUGCUGGCGUAAUGUCGUCAGCGACCCGUCUUGAA